RNAcentral lists this ribosomal RNA (253 nucleotides) under uncultured bacterium. RNAcentral describes it as "partial 16S ribosomal RNA". It matches the Rfam family "Bacterial small subunit ribosomal RNA", at positions 524 to 776 of the family's 1533-position model. The record is from RNAcentral.
UACGGAGGGGGCGAGCGUUAUUCGGAAUUAUUGGGGGUAAAGGGCGCGUAGGCGGCCCGGUAAGUCAAAGGUGAAAUCCCUCGGCUCAACUGAGGAACUGCCUUUGAAACUGUCGGGCUUGAGGCCGGGAGGGGGUAGCGGAAUUCCCAGUGUAGCGGUGAAAUGCGUAGAUACUGGGAGGAACACCAGUGGCGAAGGCGGCUACCUGGACCGGUUCUGACGCUGAGGCGCGAAAGCGUGGGUAGCAAACAGG